RNAcentral lists this non-coding RNA (62 nucleotides) under Enterococcus canis. RNAcentral describes it as "Fluoride sequence". It matches the Rfam family "Fluoride riboswitch aptamer (crcB RNA motif)". The record is from Rfam by way of RNAcentral. Lineage: Bacteria; Bacillati; Bacillota; Bacilli; Lactobacillales; Enterococcaceae.
UUUCUUGUAAGGGAUGGUGCUCCCGAUAACCGCUAAAAUUAGCUGAUGGCGCCUGUUGUAAG